GUAUAGGUUUAUAGGCACAAAGGCCAUUGAUUACAUUCUACGACAUACAUUGGGGUAUAUGAAGAAACAUAGACCUAGAAAUGUAAAGAGAGGCAGAGAGCCAAUCCUCAAACCCGAAUGGCUAGCAUUCAGAGAGAGACCCAGGUCUACAAAAGUGCACAGGUGGAGAUAUAAAGAUGACAAGUGUGCACAUGCUCCCUAGAGAACCAGCAUCAACUCAUCAGAUUUAUUUCAAUAAUGAUCCUUCCGCAGGUUCACCUACGGAAA
This 267-nucleotide unclassified non-coding RNA is filed under the name uncultured fungus. RNAcentral's name for it is "sequence contains ITS1". The record is from RNAcentral. Lineage: Eukaryota; Fungi.